RNAcentral lists this ribosomal RNA (215 nucleotides) under uncultured bacterium. RNAcentral describes it as "partial 16S ribosomal RNA". It matches the Rfam family "Bacterial small subunit ribosomal RNA", at positions 524 to 734 of the family's 1533-position model. The record is from RNAcentral.
GACGAAGGUGGCGACCGUUGUUCGGAAUCACUGGGCAUAAAGAGCUCGUAGGCGGUGAGAAAAGUAGGGUGUGAAAUCCCUCGGCCCGAACCGAGGAACUGCGCUCUAAACUAGUCUUGCUUGAGGACCGAACGGGGACCGACGGAAUUCCUGGUGGAGCGGUGAAAUGCGUUGAUAUCAGGAGGAACACCGGCGGCGAAGGCGGUGGUCUGGUC